ACUCGCUCUCUCGCUCUUUGCAUAGUAACAUCACUUUUGCUUGUAUCGGAAAACAAAAGUGGCGCCUUGGGCGGUGCUGCACGGAAGAAAGAACACGAAAGCGAAAAGCAAAGCAGACUAGAUGCGCGCGUUGCCAAAAGGUGUUUAGUGUGUGUGUAUGUGUGCUUUGUUGGCGACUUUUGAGCAGAAGACAACCAGGCGUUCGUUGUCGCCACGGAAAUUGAUCGAUCUUAGUCUUGAUCGGCGCCAACAAAAGCGACACGAUUGGCAGGAUCAAUGAAAGUGCAACGGUUUGGAUCACUUUCAGUGCAGCCUUUUUAAACAUUUCCUAGCAUUCGCUGCCAAACCGACGGUGUACCAGAAAGGACACGCAUGUCAUCGAUUUGUUUAGUCGCUUAAUUAAGGUGCAAGCAUAAUCUACAGCGCUGCGUUAGUGUGAAUUAUUGCAGGUAUCAGUAUCGCAAUUUCCAAACGAUGCCAUCUUUCUUACCAAAUGGUUCAUCUAAGCUUUCAACAGACCGUAAAUGAAACGCUCCUCCCACAACCUUUAUUCCGCUCCAUGCAGGCGAACAGAUUACGUUUAUGUUUUUUUCCCCGGCGGGCAAUUCAAGGGUUGACGAUCCAUGGCCACGAUCUGCUACUGGCGAUGGAGCUCGAGGGAUUCCACCCGAACAACCGACCGGGUGACUGUACCAACUGCUGCUUCAUGGCAAACUGACCACCGUGUCUCCUGUGACCGAGCAGAAAUGGAACACCGGUUGGUUGGUGUAUGUGUGCGGAGCGGUCGUAGAUCAUUGAGCAAACUGAAGAUCGUUCAUUCGACUCAAACAGGUCCGGAUUCGGAGUGGACCUAUCCAUCGUGGCGAGGAAAGAAGUUUUGAAAUGGUUGGCAAUCUGCAGAAAAGGGAGAUAAAGAGAGAUAGAGAGAGAGAGAGAGAGAGUGUUCGUGCAAGGGCAGCAGUGAAGAUGCCAGGGAGAAAAGGGUUUAUUGCCUCCCUGACCGUUUGAAACUAUUUUUAGUUCGUCAUCGGCUUGAGACACGAUUGCAGCGUGUUUAUUUUUGGUUGCCGAUGAGAUGCGCGCGGCAUGUGCACAGUAAAGGAAAAGCAGUUUCAGAUGUUUUUCUUUCUUUCUUUUUGUUUGUUAAACUGACCGGACCAGAUUAAAGCGCCCAACGGCUGUGUAAACGUGGCUGCGUAUGAGUGAAGGGGAUGUUUUUUUACUUCGUUUAAAAAUUGAGUCAAAAUGAAGAAAUAGCACGUGCAAUCAGCUGAUCGCUGUUCUGUUGCAACAGAGUCUCGAUUGUUUGAGUGAAUUAGUUUUUAAAUAUUUCUGUUGGAAGCGGUAAUCUAAGAACGAUCAUGUCCGGAGGUCAGUGCAAUAAUAAAAACUCAUGAGAGGCUCUAUCUCCUGCCGGUUUUCCCAAUCAUCUCAGGAUGUUUGCUACCUAUUUGCUACUUAUUUUUAAAUCGGCCCUACAUAGCAUUAGGAUCGGCCCAUUAUUUGCGAAUUAUGCAAACAUCCUUAGGGAACAACUAAAAAAUAUGAGGAACCAUGAGGAACACCUAAAAAAUCUUGUAUGUGUAGGGUUUAUUAACCUAAUUAAUGAUUGAACGAGAAGUCACAAAUAGUAAAGCUUCAUAAGUGAUCAGUUAAAUAAAGACAAAAUAAUUAACUUA
Long non-coding RNA from Anopheles arabiensis, 1679 nucleotides. RefSeq lists it as uncharacterized. The record is from RefSeq and is a predicted model, not a curated record. The transcript has 3 exons. Lineage: Eukaryota; Metazoa; Arthropoda; Insecta; Diptera; Culicidae.